UGGCGAACGGGUGAGUAACACGUGGGUAAUCUGCCCUGCACUCUGGGAUAGGCCUGGGAAACUGGGUCUAAUACUGGAUAUGACCUUUCUCCUUAUGGGGUUUGGUGGAAAGUUUUUCGGUGUAGGAUGAGCCCGCGGCCUAUCAGCUUGUUGGUGGGGUGAUGGCCUACCAAGGCGACACGGGUAGCCGGCCUGAGAGGGUGAUCGGCCACAUUGGGACUGAGAUACGGCCCAG
This 235-nucleotide ribosomal RNA is filed under the name uncultured Actinomycetales bacterium. RNAcentral describes it as "partial 16S ribosomal RNA". It matches the Rfam family "Bacterial small subunit ribosomal RNA", at positions 96 to 334 of the family's 1533-position model. Lineage: Bacteria; Bacillati; Actinomycetota; Actinomycetes; Actinomycetales. The record is from RNAcentral.